This 96-nucleotide microRNA precursor is filed under the name Oryza nivara. RNAcentral describes it as "pre miRNA MIR439". It matches the Rfam family "MIR439 microRNA precursor family". Lineage: Eukaryota; Viridiplantae; Streptophyta; Magnoliopsida; Poales; Poaceae. The record is from RNAcentral.
AACUACCCUGUCGAACUGCCAAAGUUUGAUAGGUACCUGUCGAACUGCAGUUGUUCGAUAGGUACCCCUGUCGAACUGUAGCAGUUCGAUAGGGUG